RNAcentral lists this ribosomal RNA (460 nucleotides) under uncultured bacterium. Its description in RNAcentral is "partial 16S ribosomal RNA". It matches the Rfam family "Bacterial small subunit ribosomal RNA", at positions 338 to 795 of the family's 1533-position model. The record is from RNAcentral.
CCUACGGGAGGCAGCAGUGAGGAAUAUUGGUCAAUGGGCGAGAGCCUGAACCAGCCAAGUCGCGUGAAGGAUGACGGCCCUACGGGUUGUAAACUUCUUUUGUCAGGGAGCAAUUGGGUCCACGCGUGGGCUUAGCGAGAGUACCUGAAGAAAAAGCAUCGGCUAACUCCGUGCCAGCAGCCGGGGUAAUACGGAGGAUGAGCGCGUUAUCCGGAUUUAUUGGGUUUAAAGGGUGCGUAGGCGGAAUAUCAAGUCAGCGGUAAAAAUUCGGGGCUCAACCCCGUCGUGCCGUUGAAACUGAUGGUCUUGAGUGGGCGAGAAGUAUGCGGAAUGCGUGGUGUAGCGGUGAAAUGCAUAGAUAUCACGCAGAACUCCGAUUGCGAAGGCAGCAUACCGGCGCCCAACUGACGCUGAAGCACGAAAGCGUGGGUAUCGAACAGGAUUAGAUACCCCGGUAGUC